CCUACGGGAGGCUGCAGUGGGGAAUAUUGGGCAAUGGACGCAAGUCUGACCCAGCAACGCCGCGUGAAGGAAGAAGGUUUUCGGGUUGUAAACUUCUUUUAAGGGGGAAGAGAAGAAGACGGUACCCCUUGAACAAGCCACGGCUCACUACGGGCCAGCAGCUGCGGUAAUACGUAGGUGGCAAGUGUUGUCCGGAUUUACUGGGUGUAAAGGGCGUGUAGCCGGGGAGACAAGUCAGAGGUGAAUUCCGCGGGCUCAACCUGCGAACUGCAUUUGAAACUGUGUCCCUUGAGUAUCGGAGAGGUCAUCGGAAUUCGUAGUGUAGCGGUGAAAUGCGUAGAUAUUAGGAAGAACACCGGUGGCGAAGGCGGAUGACUGGACGACAACUGACGGUGAGGCGCGAAAGCGUGGGGAGCGAACAGGAUUAGAUACCCUGGUAGUC
Molecule: ribosomal RNA, 442 nt
Filed under: uncultured bacterium
Lineage: Bacteria
Description: partial 16S ribosomal RNA
Rfam family: Bacterial small subunit ribosomal RNA
Source: RNAcentral